UGGGGAAUUUUGGACAAUGGGCGAAAGCCUGAUCCAGCAAUGCCGCGUGUGUGAAGAAGGCCUUCGGGUUGUAAAGCACUUUUGUCCGGAAAGAAAUCCUUGGCUCUAAUACAGUCGGGGGAUGACGGUACCGGAAGAAUAAGCACCGGCUAACUACGUGCCAGCAGCCGCGGUAAUACGUAGGGUGCAAGCGUUAAUCGGAAUUACUGGGCGUAAAGCGUGCGCAGGCGGUUUGCUAAGACCGAUGUGAAAUCCCCGGGCUCAACCUGGGAACUGCAUUGGUGACUGGCAGGCUAGAGUAUGGCAGAGGGGGGUAGAAUUCCACGUGUAGCAGUGAAAUGCGUAGGGAUGUGGAGGAAUACCGAUGGCGAAGGCAGCCCCCCGUGGGCAAUACUGACGCUCAUGCACGAAAGCGUGGGGAGCAAACAGGAUUAGAUACCCUGGUAGUCCACGCCCUAAACGAUGUCAACUAGUUGUUGGGGAUUCAUUUCCUUAGUAACGUAGCUAACGCGUGAAGUUGACCGCCUGGGGAGUACGGUCG
Molecule: ribosomal RNA, 541 nt
Filed under: uncultured bacterium
Lineage: Bacteria
Description: partial 16S ribosomal RNA
Rfam family: Bacterial small subunit ribosomal RNA
Source: RNAcentral